RNAcentral lists this ribosomal RNA (381 nucleotides) under marine Metazoa environmental sample. RNAcentral's name for it is "SSU rRNA". It matches the Rfam family "Eukaryotic small subunit ribosomal RNA", at positions 587 to 972 of the family's 1831-position model. Lineage: Eukaryota; Metazoa. The record is from RNAcentral.
AGCUCCAAUAGCGUAUAUUAAAGUUGUUGCAGUUAAAAAGCUCGUAGUUGGAUCUCGGGUCCCGGCCUGCGGUUCGCCACACGGCGUCUACUGCCCGUCCGGACCUACCUGCCGGUUUUCCCCUGGUUCUCUUCGUUGAGUGCCUCGGGUGGCCGGAACGUUUACUUUGAAAAAAUUAGAGUGUUCAAAGCAGGCGAUUCGCCUGAAUAAUGGUGCAUGGAAUAAUGGAAUAGGACCUCGGUUCUAUUUUGUUGGUUUUCGGAAGUCGAGGUAAUGAUUAAGAGGGACAGACGGGGGCAUUCGUAUUACGGUGUUAGAGGUGAAAUUCUUGGAUCGCCGUAAGACGAACUACUGCGAAAGCAUUUGCCAAGAAUGUUUUCA